This 497-nucleotide ribosomal RNA is filed under the name uncultured bacterium. Its description in RNAcentral is "partial 16S ribosomal RNA". It matches the Rfam family "Bacterial small subunit ribosomal RNA", at positions 28 to 507 of the family's 1533-position model. The record is from RNAcentral.
GAUGAACGCUGGCGGCGUGCCUAAUACAUGCAAGUCGAGCGAACAGACGAGGAGCUUGCUCCUCUGACGUUAGCGGCGGACGGGUGAGUAACACGUGGAUAACCUACCUAUAAGACUGGGAUAACUUCGGGAAACCGGAGCUAAUACCGGAUAAUAUAUUGAACCGCAUGGUUCAAUAGUGAAAGACGGUUUUGCUGUCACUUAUAGAUGGAUCCGCGCCGCAUUAGCUAGUUGGUAAGGUAACGGCUUACCAAGGCAACGAUGCGUAACCGACCUGAGAGGGGGGUCGGCCACACUGGAACUGAGACACGGUCAUGAGUACUACGGGAGGCAGCAGUAGGGAAUGUUCCGCAAUUGUCGAAAGCCUGACGGAGCAACGCUGCGUGGGUGAUGAAGGUCUUCGGAUCGUAAUACUCUGUUAUUAGGGAAGAACAAAUGUGUAAGUAACUAUGCACGUCGUGACGGUACCUAAUCAGAAAGCCACGGCUAACUACGUG